UACGUAGGGUGCAAGCGUUAAUCGGAAUUACUGGGCGUAAAGCGUACGCAGGCGGCUAUGUAAGACAGGUGUGAAAUCCCCGGGCCUAACCUGGGAACUGCAUUUGUGACUGCAUAGCUAGAGUCCGUCAGAGGGGGGUGGAAUUCCACGUGUAGCAGUGAAAUGCGUAGAGAUGUGGAGGAACACCGAUGGCGAAGGCAGCCCCCUGGGAUGGGACUGACGCUCAUGUACGAAAGCGUGGGGAGCAAACAGG
Molecule: ribosomal RNA, 253 nt
Filed under: uncultured bacterium
Lineage: Bacteria
Description: partial 16S ribosomal RNA
Rfam family: Bacterial small subunit ribosomal RNA
Source: RNAcentral